AUGAGUGCAAGGCUGCUCUGCUGUGUAGCACUUUGUCUCCUUGGGACAGGCUCUUUUGAUGCUAAAGUAGUACAGAGUCCUAGACAUCUGGUCAAAGAGAAAGGACAGAAAGCAAAUAUGGAUUGUUUCCCUGAAAAGGGGCAUACUGCCUUUUACUGGUAUCAUCAGAGCCAAAAAGAAUUUAAACUUUUGAUUAACUUCCGGAAUGAAGAAAUUAUGGAACAAACAGACAUGGCCAAGAAGCGAUUCUCCGCUAAGUGUCCCUCAAACUCACCCUGCAGCCUGGAAAUCCAGUCCUCUGAGGCAGGAGACUCAGGGUUGUAUUUCUGUGCCAGCAGUCAGUACACAGCACUGCAAUGUGCGUUCCCCUCAGUGCACAAACCCCAUUGUGGACAGACCUCAGGAAGCAGGUGA
Molecule: non-coding RNA, 414 nt
Organism: Microtus ochrogaster (prairie vole)
Lineage: Eukaryota; Metazoa; Chordata; Mammalia; Rodentia; Cricetidae
Source: the annotation of a RefSeq genome assembly